UUAAGAUUUUUGAAGGAACUUCGUUAACCAAUGCAAAGCUUGAUGAUCUUUUUAAAAUGCGUCUUUCACUCAAGGAUGGAACUGGGAUGGAAUCGGGACUGAUUUGCUCGGAAGCGGGAUCAUUUAUGGGGUCUGCAAUAAUAAAUAAUUGUAGAUUCGCCAAAAUGUAGUUUUUAUUUCACCAUGAAAAAGAGAGAAAUACGUAAAUAUGUAAAUUUUACCUGCAACCGUGUCUUCUUGAGAAGAAACAGGAUCUAAAUUUGAAUCUGAUACAGGAAAAUGGAGAGGCAAAAAAAGACUUGGCAACACAUCCUUUUUCAGCAACAUAUUAGACGACCGAUCUUCCACAAGAAAAUGCCUGUCACAAAUACGGUGGGAGCGAUACACCAGGUCUGCAUUCUUAACAUGAAGAUCUUUAUCUCCGCAAAGCUCAAUCCAUCGUUCAAAACGGCUUUUGAAUUUACGGGGAUUUGGAAAGCGAUGUCGCGGGGAUUGGCGAUCAUCGCAGGUUACAACGGCACACUUGCGGUACUUCAGCAUCCUCUAACUGCAAUAGUUAAUAAUAAAAUUCCAUAUCUUCAAAUUAAACAAAUAUUUUUACCUUAUAAAGUCCUUAAUUGAACGGGGAACAAACAGUAAAACAAGAAACACCAAACAGCAACACAAAAACAACAAUAAAGAGAACGCGAACACCAAAAAUAUAUAUAAAAGUAACGAAAACAAAACUAACAGAGCAAAUUAAUCGAAAAACUGUGGCUCAAAGACCAAGAUAGCAGAACAGAACGGUUGGGAAAGCACGGGAAUCGAGACGAUAAUUAAUUUUUGACGUUUCAAGUUGUCAAAGUAACCGAAGCGCUUUUAUUUAUUAUUUUCAGUUAUAAUAUAACAAGUGAUAUGAUUAUUAUCGAUAAUAUUUCGAGUGAAACCGAGCUGCAGAUUCAACGAGUGCGAAGCACGAGUUGAAUGUGCUGCUUCGGUUUCACGAGCCAUAUCUUCGAUUAUUAAUCAUAUCACGAGUUAUAUUCAACAUGAGAAUAUAAUAAAUGAACACAUUUUUUGAUAAUAGAGUUGAUUUCGUCGUUUUGAGCUUGCCCCCAACGUUGGCAAGCCAUAAAAGACAAAAAAAUUUACGAAAUUUUAAAAUUUGUCAAUUUGACAGUUUUUAAAUUUAGAUAGCAACAGACCACAAUAAGGCAAUAAAAUUAUUAUCGCUGUGAUAGACAUGUAACUAAGGGCAUGAACAAAUUCUAUUGGACGAAAUGGGGUCAUGUGAUUCAUGAAUUAUAUUCUCAUAGAUAUUGUUUUAAAUUUAAAAACAUGCCGCCAGCGCCUCUCGUGGACUGUUCCCCGUACUAAAACGCAUGCCCAUUUCAAUCCUUUGAAGUUCCCGCCCCAUGAUCACAAUUUUUGGAUGAUAUUAGUUCACAUUAGGUUGUAUAUGUUUCUGGGUUUGUUUUUUUUUGUAUGUGUUAUUAAUAAUGACAGAAAGACAUGUGUUAACAUCAGGGACGAUUACCAAUUUUUUUUUGUUGAUGAUCGGAGAUGCAUUGUGAACGGAGAAUAUUCUUUGCAAUCAAAUAAUGUAAUGAACGUCAAUUGGGAUAUUGAAUUAAAGGUGCUUCAAGAGUUUAUUCGAGCUGGCAUGCGAAAUAGCCAGUAUAACGUUGUGGUAUUCCUUUAUUUGGAUGUCUCAGUAGAAAAGGCAACAUGUGAAAGCCCAAGAGUACAUUUGUGUGUCAUAUGAUUGUAGUUGCCCUUCAUGGACAUUAUAAUAUAUUUGGUACCAAUAAUUCGCGUUUAUGGGACGUACAUCUGAAGAAAAGUGAAUCAGCUGAAGUCAGAGCUGUUGUCUCUGAAAAUCCGUUUAAUCCCCAAGUGAGUUUAAAAACGGCUAAUCUUGAACAACUUUAUGAAAGUUUACGACAAACAUUUUAUUUGAGGUAAACCUGCAGAUUUGUCGGAUGUGGACCAUCCUGAUUAUGUUCCAUCACAAAAUUUAAGAUAUCAAAAUAAAUCCACACAUAAUACUUGUAAUAUUGAAAGACACAGUUGUUUAAAAAAGAGAAAACUGAAUAAA
Long non-coding RNA from Zophobas morio, 2077 nucleotides. RefSeq lists it as uncharacterized. The record is from RefSeq and is a predicted model, not a curated record. Lineage: Eukaryota; Metazoa; Arthropoda; Insecta; Coleoptera; Tenebrionidae. The transcript is spliced from 3 exons.